Molecule: ribosomal RNA, 837 nt
Filed under: uncultured fungus
Lineage: Eukaryota; Fungi
Description: SSU rRNA
Rfam family: Eukaryotic small subunit ribosomal RNA
Source: RNAcentral
UGUGCCAGCCGCCGCGGUAAUUCCAGCUCCAAUAGCGUAUAUUAAAGUUGUUGCAGUUAAAAGCUCGUAGUUGAAACUUGGGCCUGGCUGGCGGGUCCGCCUCACCGCGUGCACUCGUCCGGCCGGGCCUUCCUUCUGAAGAACCUCAUGCCCUUCACUGGGCGUGCUGGGGAAUCAGGACUUUUACUUUGAAAAAAUUAGAGUGUUCAAAGCAGGCCUUUGCUCGAAUACGUUAGCAUGGAAUAAUAAAAUAGGGCGUGCGUUUCUAUUUUGUUGGUUUCUAGAGACGCCGCAAUGAUUAACAGGAACAGUCGGGGGCAUCAGUAUUCAGUUGUCAGAGGUGAAAUUCUUGGAUUUACUGAAGACUAACUACUGCGAAAGCAUUUGCCAAGGAUGUUUUCAUUAAUCAGUGAACGAAAGUUAGGGGAUCGAAGACGAUCAGAUACCGUCGUAGUCUUAACCGUAAACUAUGCCGACUAGGGAUCGGGCGAUGUUCUUUUUCUGACUCGCUCGGCACCUUACGAGAAAUCAAAGUUUUUGGGUUCUGGGGGAAUUAUGGUCGCAAGGCUGAAACUUAAAGAAAUUGACGGAAGGUCACCACCAGGCGUGGAGCCUGCGGCUUAAUUUGACUCAACACGGGGAAACUCACCAGGUCCAGAUGAAAUAAGGAUUGACAGAUUGAGAGCUCUUUCUUGAUUUUUCAGUGGUGGUGCAUGGCCGUUCUUAGUUCGUGGGGUGACUUGUCUGCUUAAUUGCGAUAACGAGCGAGACCUUACUCUGCUAAAUAGCCAGGCUAACUUUGGUUGGUCGCCGGCUUCUUAGAGAGACUAUCAACUC